RNAcentral lists this ribosomal RNA (448 nucleotides) under uncultured Leptolinea sp. Its description in RNAcentral is "bacterial SSU rRNA". It matches the Rfam family "Bacterial small subunit ribosomal RNA", at positions 920 to 1382 of the family's 1533-position model. Lineage: Bacteria; Bacillati; Chloroflexota; Anaerolineae; Anaerolineales; Anaerolineaceae. The record is from RNAcentral.
CCCGCACAAGCAGCGGAGCGUGUGGUUUAAUUCGAUGUUACACGAAGAACCUUACAGGGUUUGACAUGCAAGUGGUAGGAAGCCGAAAGGUGACCGACCCUUCGGGGAGCUUGCACAGGUGCUGCAUGGCUGUCGUCAGCUCGUGUCGUGAGAUGUUCGGUUAAGUCCGCUAACGAGCGCAACCCUCGCUGUGUGUUAUAUGUGUCACACGGGACUGCCGGUCUUAAGCCGGAGGAAGGUGGGGAUGAUGUCAAGUCAGCAUGGCCUUUAUAUCCUGGGCUACACACACGCUACAAUGGCCAACACAAUAGGUUGCUAAGCCGCGAGGUGGAGCAAAUCCUAAAAAGCCGGUCUCAGUUCGGAUUGCAGGCUGCAAUUCGCCUGCAUGAAGUCGGAAUCGCUAGUAAUCGCAGGUCAGCAUACUGCGGUGAAUACGUUCCCGGGCCUU